GGGUCGGGCCGGGCCGGGCAGCGCCCGCCCGCUGACAUGGCCGCGGGGCAGUGCCCGCCGCCCGCACCUGCACGGACGGCCCCGCGCUGAGCAAGCCUCGCUCCUUAUGCAUUACAAAAGGAGGUCCCUCAGCGAACCAGCGCUCAGCUCCAUCUCUUACAGCACGGGUGCGACGGGGAGCACACACAGGUUCAAAGUGUUUCUACCCCACCAGUGAAAACAGAUGCAGGCUAUUUCUGGCAAGAAAAAAAAAACAGUGGAAAGAUACAUAUUUUAAAAAAUUAACUGCUUAUAAAAAUCUUCUAUGACUGGAGCUCUACAUGAUGCAAAUGGCAAUCUUUUAGAUCGAAACAAAUCAGUGUGCACCCUCAGAAUGCAUUAAUACCAUUCACAAACAGGAUCGCAAAUGCCCUCUCAGCAUUUCACCAAAUAAAUACAGCAACAGAACCAAGUCCAAAAUACGUUAAUUUCAACAGACAUGUUUGUAUAUGUUCACAGCAGACAGAUUCCAGCAUUCUGUGCUUAACCUUAAGUAAAGGCUGGGCCUGGUUCAUACAAAUGUGGUAUAAAUACAUGCAAGUUUAGGAACCAGAACUCACACAGCAAAACUCCAGCUCUGACUGCUGUAAAAAAGCAGGUAGUAAAAGCUUAAUUACCAGUAGCAUUAUGCUGUCUAUAUUGUUAAAUGUGAACUCUAUAAUUAAGAUGUAAAAUCGCUUGUGAGCAGUGAAUUAAGGAGCUCUGAAAUGUAGAGUAAAUUCCAAGCCCUCUGUAGAAACAUCAGAGACCAAAAAAAUCAUUUUUUAUCAAAUUUUAAAAUGAGGCAUUUAAUCAUGUUGUAGUAUUAGAAUACCCUCUUAAGUAACAAUUUGAUAAAUGUGGAUUUUGGAAUCAAAUAGGAACUUAAAUAAGAUGUGUUUAUUCUAUGUAUUUAUUACUACAUAAACUCAAAAUGCAGUUCCUAUAAAUUGAUUGCCAUGUGCACAUUAGCAAACUAUGAAAAUACAAAUGCAUUGUUUGUAGUGAGUCUCUGAGUGCCCAUUUAUAAUUUAUAUUUAAAAUCGCUAUUUCUCAAUAUUUUUCACUAAAAUGCCUUCAAAUCAUUUCACGUGUAUGUGUUCUUAUUUUCAAGUGACCUAUAACCGAUACAUGAGUCAUUUGCUAAAGUCACUUCUGCCUAUUAAGUGCCCUGAAAUACACCCUCCUUAAUAUAUGACAGCUGAUCCAUUUUGAAAUUUACCAAAGCACAGGUCAGCUUAAUUUCUACUUCUGUGCAUUAUUUCCUGAGGUGAUAUAUUUAUAUGCAGGAGCUGGAACAUGAUGGUCUGUUUCUUUCUGUCAUGGAAGCCCUCCUUUCCACUUUCCUAUAAUUUGCGCUACCUUAUUGGCUUGUUCCCCCCAGCGCUCUACACCACCCAAAUACAUUUUUCCUCUCACCAUCACUACUUUUCCAUCUCUUAUCUCUCAUCCAAGCAAACGGUUCUCUUCCCUGCCAGUGCUGCUGCCUGGCUGACCAGAAACCCAGUGCUGUACUUUGCAUGUUGAUAAACAAAGCAGUUGGCUUCUUCCCCUGGGACAGAAAGUGCCACCUCCACCAGAGCAGGGCCUGGAAUUCCAACCACAUUCUUGAACUUGGGUUUCACAGUUACCCAUCAGUUUGGAGGGGAGAAAAGAAGAUAAGAAAAAGAUUACUGCAGCAAAUAAACUGGGGCUAAAUAUAGCUUCGUUUCCUCGAGCUUUUUAAUAGAAAUAAAUAAAAAUAGAUCUAGUGGAAAAAAGAUACAAUUUAACUGAAUCUUAUAGGGCGAAUAAGAACAUGCAUGCAACUGCCCAUGUGCACCAACUUAUCAAAAUGAACAGUGCAAAAUCUUACCACAAGGAGUCUAUACAAAGCAGUAGUAACAGAAUCAGAGAAGGGAAGGAAAAAAAUGUCCCAAGCGUCUGUACCAGUCAAGGGGCAUUUCUGAGCAGCAUCUACAUUUCCAUCUCUCUCUGUGCAUAUAAUUUGUCCUGUGUACAGUCCAUCUUUAAGCAUCUUCACAUUUAACUACUACAGACAUUUCAAAGCAUCCAAACAGCCAGAUUCCUACAAAACAACUACAUCAAGGCAACUGAAGAAGUAAGAUUCAGUGGCACUUCACAGCAGCUGCACAGUGCAUUGUGUCAAGUUCGUCUUUACCAAAAGGAGCAACAAGUUCGAGUCACCUGUGAAGGAGCAAAAAUAUAGAAAAAAAAAUCUAGCAGCUGCUGAGAAUUUAUUUGAAAACAAGCAUACCGUUACUUAAGAUGGAAGUUUGCUGUACACUACGGUACCUUAUUCAAGGUAUAGCUGGAGAAUAUCAUAUUGUUAAGUUUGAAAUAAAUAUUGAAUGAUCAUC
This is a long non-coding RNA of Cygnus atratus (black swan), 2378 nucleotides long. RefSeq lists it as uncharacterized. The record is from RefSeq and is a predicted model, not a curated record. The transcript has 3 exons. NCBI's taxonomy places the organism in Eukaryota, Metazoa, Chordata, Aves, Anseriformes, Anatidae.